RNAcentral lists this ribosomal RNA (206 nucleotides) under uncultured bacterium. RNAcentral's name for it is "partial 16S ribosomal RNA". It matches the Rfam family "Bacterial small subunit ribosomal RNA", at positions 568 to 774 of the family's 1533-position model. The record is from RNAcentral.
AGCGCAGACGGUUGAUUAAGUCUGAUGUGAAAGCCCGGAGCUCAACUCCGGAAUGGCAUUGGAAACUGGUUAACUUGAGUGCAGUAGAGGUAAGUGGAACUCCAUGUGUAGCGGUGGAAUGCGUAGAUAUAUGGAAGAACACCAUGGCGAAGGCGGCUUACUGGACUGUAACUGACGUUGAGGCUCGAAAGUGUGGGUAGCAAACA